GGUUUGAUCAUGGCUCAGAUUGAACGCUGGCGGGAUGCUUUACCACAUGGGGUGAACGGCAGCACGGACUUCUUCGGUCUGUUGGCGAGUGGCGACGGGUGAGUAAUGUAUCGGAACGUGCCUAAUCAACGGAGGAUAACUGAAAGCGUAGCUAAUACCGCAUACGCCCUUCGGGGAAAAGCGGGGACCUUCGGGCCUCGCACUAUUAAAAACAGCCGAUAUCCGGAUUAGCUAGUUGGUGGAGAUAACAGCUCACCAAGGCGACGAUCGCCGGCUGGUUUGAGAGGACGACCAGCCACUGGGACUGGGGUGUGGCCCAGACUCCUACGGGGAGCAGCAGUGGGGAAUUUUGGUGCAAUGUGGGGGAAACCCUGAUCCAGCCAUCCCGCGGUAAUGCGAUGAAGGCCGGUUGUAUAAAGCACUUUUGGCAGGAAAGAAACGGCACGGGAUAAUACCCCGUGCAACUGACGGUACCUGCAGGAAUAUUAAGCACCGGCUAACUACGUGCCAGCCGCCGAUAUGCGGCAAUUCUGACGUUAAUCGGAAUUGCUGGGCGUAAGCGUGCGCAGGCGGUUCGGGAGAGAAAGAUGUGAAAUCCCAGAGCUUAACGGAACUGCACGUUUUUAACUACCGAGCUAGAGUAUGUGUCAGAGGAGGUGGAAUUCCGCGUGAUGGCAGUGAAAUGCGUGAAGCUAUGGAGGAGCCACCGAUGGCGAAAACAGCCUCCUGGGAUAACACUGACGCUCAUGCACGAAAGCGUGGGAGCAAACCUGGGAUUAGAUACCUGGUAGUCCACGCCUAAACGAUGUCAACUAGCUGUUGGAGCCUUCGGGCCUUGGUAACAGCUAACGCGUGAAGUUGACCGCCUGGGGAAUACGGUCGCAAGAUUAAAACUCAAAGGAAUUGACGGGGACCCGCACAAGCGGUGGAUGAUGUGGAUUAAUUCGAUGCAACGCGAAAAACCUUACCUACCCUUGACAUGUCUGGAAUCCCGAAGAGAUUUGGGGUGCUCGCAAGAGAACCGGAACACAGGUGCUGCAUGGCUUCAGCGUCAGCUCGUGUCGUGAGAUGUUGGAGUUAGUCCGCAACGGCGCAACCCUUGUCGUGAAUUUACGAAAGGGCACUCUAAUGAGACUGCCGGUGACAAAACCGGAGGAAGGUGGGGAUGACGUCAAGUCCUCAUAGCCCAUAUGGGUAGGGCUUCACACGUCAUACUAUUGGUCGGGACAGAGGGUCGCCAACCCGCGAGGGGAAUAAUCCCAGAGCCGAUCGUAGUCCGGAUCGCAGUCUGCAACUCGACUGCGUGAAGUCGGAAUCGCUGGCAAAUAUCGCGGAUCAGCAUGUCGCGGUGAAUACGUUCCCGGGUCUUGUACCCUGCCCGUCACACCAUGGGAGUGGGUUUUACCGAAGUAGUUAGCUAACCGUAGGCGAUUACCACGGUAAGUUCUGGCUGGUGAAGUCGUAACAAGGUAA
This 1473-nucleotide ribosomal RNA is filed under the name uncultured Bordetella sp. RNAcentral describes it as "partial 16S-23S ribosomal RNA intergenic spacer". It matches the Rfam family "Bacterial small subunit ribosomal RNA". Lineage: Bacteria; Pseudomonadati; Pseudomonadota; Betaproteobacteria; Burkholderiales; Alcaligenaceae. The record is from RNAcentral.